GACGAACGCUGGCGGCGUGCUUAACACAUGCAAGUCGAACGGAAAGGCCCUGCUUUUGUGGGGUUCUCGAGUGGCGAACGGGUGAGUAACACGUGAGUAACCUGCCCUUGACUUUGGGAUAACUUCAGGAAACUGGGGCUAAUACCGGAUAGGAGCUCCUGCUGCAUGGUGGGGGUUGGAAAGUUUCGGCUGUUGGGGAUGGACUCGCGGCUUAUCAGCUUGUUGGUGGGGUAGUGGCUUACCAAGGCUUUGACGGGUAGCCGGCCUGAGAGGGUGACCGGCGACAUUGGGACUGAGAUACGGACCAGACUCCUACGGGAGGCAGCAGUGGGGAAUAUUGCACAAUGGGCGGAAGCCUGAUGCAGAAACGCCGCGUGCGGGAUGACGGCCUUCGGGUUGUAAACCGCUUUCGCCUGUGACGAAGCGUGAGUGACGGUAAUGGGUAAAGAAGCACCGGCUAACUACGUG
This 468-nucleotide ribosomal RNA is filed under the name uncultured bacterium. Its description in RNAcentral is "partial 16S ribosomal RNA". It matches the Rfam family "Bacterial small subunit ribosomal RNA", at positions 28 to 507 of the family's 1533-position model. The record is from RNAcentral.